RNAcentral lists this ribosomal RNA (256 nucleotides) under uncultured bacterium. RNAcentral describes it as "partial 16S ribosomal RNA". It matches the Rfam family "Bacterial small subunit ribosomal RNA", at positions 524 to 776 of the family's 1533-position model. The record is from RNAcentral.
UACGUAGGAUGCAAGCGUUGUCCGGAAUUAUUGGGCGUAAAGAGCGCGCAGGCGGUAUGACAAGUCAGAUGUGAAAGAGGCCGGCUUAACCGGGCAAGGGUCAUUUGAAACUGUCAGACUAGAGUGCAGCAGAGGAUAGUGGAAUUCCCGGUGUAGUGGUGAAAUGCGUAGAUAUCGGGGAGGAACACCAGGUGGCGAAGGCGACUAUCUGGGCUGCAACUGACGCUGAGGCGCGAAGGCUAGGGUAGCAAACAGG